UGACUGCUAGAGAUAAGACAU
Molecule: non-coding RNA, 21 nt
Filed under: Caenorhabditis elegans
Lineage: Eukaryota; Metazoa; Nematoda; Chromadorea; Rhabditida; Rhabditidae
Source: RNAcentral